This 1077-nucleotide long non-coding RNA is filed under the name Equus caballus (horse). Its description in RNAcentral is "lncRNA (ENSECAG00000029891.3)". The record is from RNAcentral. Lineage: Eukaryota; Metazoa; Chordata; Mammalia; Perissodactyla; Equidae.
AUGACACUGAAGUGGCGUAUCUUUUGCUACCAUGAGGACUGCCCCACGCAGAAGUGCUUCUGAGAUAACAGCCUCAAGAGCAGCAGGUUUUGGACAAGGGUCAUGAUUAUCUUUUAUCUGACAGGUAAGUCGGAUGCUUCGAAUCUUCCAGGAAGGGGAUGGGCAUUGAAAAUAGAAGUCAGGCAUUAACACAAGUUGGGAAAAGGACUUCAAGAUACUUAGAGACUUAGAAGACAAUAGGGCAGCAGGGUCUCUAGCUACAAGACAACAACAGUUCCCUAGCUGUCACCCGAGCCUGCAAAAGGUCCUCCAUUGGCACACUGACCAGAUACUACACAAUGAUUCUAAAAGAGGUUUGAGAACACCCAGAGAGGCUCGACCCUGUCUUUUAGAAAGGAAAUUGUCCCUUCAAUUUCCUCCUUUGGAGAUCAUGGGCACUUACAGCAACAGCCAAGCUGCAGGAACCGUGAAAGUCAGCAGCAUGACAAGAGCUCCCCAAAAGCUACGCUGGUUAGACAAGCCAAGGAAAGAGUGGAAGAUGCACCAAGCAGAGUACAGAACACACAGUAGGCUCCCUUCAUUGAAAUAAAGAAGACAGGGACCAUUUUUGAGAAAAAGGAGAAGAUGGCAAGGAAAAACUCUCUCUUUCCCCUAGGAGCUCUGAAGAAGAAAGGGCUUGGAGAGAGGAAGACCCAGCUGAGAUCCCUCUGAAACUGUGAUAUACGACAUCACUGCCUCAGGACCUGUCCAACUGUCAGACAGCAGGAAGCUGCCCCACUCGUGAACAUCUAUUCGACUCUCCAAGUCCGGGGAGUCUACCUGGCACACAGGAGGCGUGACUCACAUGUGGCUAUGGCAGAUCUCCUCCCUCCUCCCAAGGCUUACCAGGCAACCUUGGCCUAAAGCACAGAAUGUUCUCGGUAAACAUAAAGGACCCUAAAAAUAUUAACAGUGAUUGUUAUUGUUGUUAUUAAAUCUACAGUUUGGAGCAGUAACCACAAAAUUGGUGACUUCCACAAGUCCAAUUAUGACCACUACAAAGUGGACAAAAUAAAACUUUUCUCCUAGGAAUCUUAA